This 253-nucleotide ribosomal RNA is filed under the name uncultured bacterium. RNAcentral's name for it is "partial 16S ribosomal RNA". It matches the Rfam family "Bacterial small subunit ribosomal RNA", at positions 524 to 776 of the family's 1533-position model. The record is from RNAcentral.
UACGUAGGGGGCAAGCGUUAUCCGGAUUUACUGGGUGUAAAGGGAGCGUAGACGGUAAUGUAAGUCUGAUGUGAAAGCCCGGGGCUCAACCCCGGGACUGCAUUGGAAACUAUGUAACUAGAGUACCGGAGAGGUAAGCGGAAUUCCUAGUGUGGCGGUGAAAUGCGUAGAUAUUAGGAGGAACACCAGUGGCGAAGGCGGCUUACUGGACGGAAACUGACGUUGAGGCUCGAAAGCGUGGGGAGCAAACAGG